GACAGAGGUCCCGAGCGUUAGGCGGAAUCACUGGGCUUAAAGCGUGUGUAGGCGGAUCUGUAAGUACCUUGUGAAAUCCCACGGCUUAACCGUGGAACUGCUCGGUAUACUGCGGAUCUUGAGCCACCUAGGGGCAACCGGAACAAGCGGUGGAGCGGUGAAAUGCGUAGAUAUUGGGAGGAACACCAGUGGCGAAGGCGGCUCACUGGACUGGUACUGACGCUGAGGCGCGAAAGCGUGGGGAGCAAACAGG
This 253-nucleotide ribosomal RNA is filed under the name uncultured bacterium. RNAcentral's name for it is "partial 16S ribosomal RNA". It matches the Rfam family "Bacterial small subunit ribosomal RNA", at positions 524 to 776 of the family's 1533-position model. The record is from RNAcentral.